ACUAAGCGUACACGGUGGAUGCCCUGGCAGUCAGAGGCGAUGAAGGACGUGCUAAUCUGCGAUAAGCGUCGGUAAGGUGAUAUGAACCGUUAUAACCGGCGAUUUCCGAAUGGGGAAACCCAGUGUGAUUCGUCACACUAUCAUUAACUGAAUCCAUAGGUUAAUGAGGCGAACCGGGGGAACUGAAACAUCUAAGUACCCCGAGGAAAAGAAAUCAACCGAGAUUCCCCAGUAGCGGCGAGCGAACGGGGAGCAGCCCAGAGCCUGAAUCAGUGUGUGUGUUAGUGGAAGCGUCUGGAAAGGCGUGCGAUACAGGGUGACAGCCCCGUACACAAAAAUGCACAUGCUGUGAGCUCGAUGAGUAGGGCGGGACACGUGGUAUCCUGUCUGAAUAUGGGGGGACCAUCCUCCAAGGCUAAAUACUCCUGACUGACCGAUAGUGAACCAGUACCGUGAGGGAAAGGCGAAAAGAACCCCGGCGAGGGGAGUGAAAAAGAACCUGAAACCGUGUACGUACAAGCAGUGGGAGCACGCUUAGGCGUGUGACUGCGUACCUUUUGUAUAAUGGGUCAGCGACUUAUAUUCUGUAGCAAGGUUAACCGAAUAGGGGAGCCGAAGGGAAACCGAGUCUUAACUGGGCGUUAAGUUGCAGGGUAUAGACCCGAAACCCGGUGAUCUAGCCAUGGGCAGGUUGAAGGUUGGGUAACACUAACUGGAGGACCGAACCGACUAAUGUUGAAAAAUUAGCGGAUGACUUGUGGCUGGGGGUGAAAGGCCAAUCAAACCGGGAGAUAGCUGGUUCUCCCCGAAAGCUAUUUAGGUAGCGCCUCGUGAAUUCAUCUCCGGGGGUAGAGCACUGUUUCGGCAAGGGGGUCAUCCCGACUUACCAACCCGAUGCAAACUGCGAAUACCGGAGAAUGUUAUCACGGGAGACACACGGCGGGUGCUAACGUCCGUCGUGAAGAGGGAAACAACCCAGACCGCCAGCUAAGGUCCCAAAGUCAUGGUUAAGUGGGAAACGAUGUGGGAAGGCCCAGACAGCCAGGAUGUUGGCUUAGAAGCAGCCAUCAUUUAAAGAAAGCGUAAUAGCUCACUGGUCGAGUCGGCCUGCGCGGAAGAUGUAACGGGGCUAAACCAUGCACCGAAGCUGCGGCAGCGACGCUGAUGCGUUGUUGGGUAGGGGAGCGUUCUGUAAGCCUGCGAAGGUGUGCUGUGAGGCAUGCUGGAGGUAUCAGAAGUGCGAAUGCUGACAUAAGUAACGAUAAAGCGGGUGAAAAGCCCGCUCGCCGGAAGACCAAGGGUUCCUGUCCAACGUUAAUCGGGGCAGGGUGAGUCGACCCCUAAGGCGAGGCCGAAAGGCGUAGUCGAUGGGAAACAGGUUAAUAUUCCUGUACUUGGUGUUACUGCGAAGGGGGGACGGAGAAGGCUAUGUUGGCCGGGCGACGGUUGUCCCGGUUUAAGCGUGUAGGCUGGUUUUCCAGGCAAAUCCGGAAAAUCAAGGCUGAGGCGUGAUGACGAGGCACUACGGUGCUGAAGCAACAAAUGCCCUGCUUCCAGGAAAAGCCUCUAAGCAUCAGGUAACAUCAAAUCGUACCCCAAACCGACACAGGUGGUCAGGUAGAGAAUACCAAGGCGCUUGAGAGAACUCGGGUGAAGGAACUAGGCAAAAUGGUGCCGUAACUUCGGGAGAAGGCACGCUGAUAUGUAGGUGAAGCGACUUGCUCGUGGAGCUGAAAUCAGUCGAAGAUACCAGCUGGCUGCAACUGUUUAUUAAAAACACAGCACUGUGCAAACACGAAAGUGGACGUAUACGGUGUGACGCCUGCCCGGUGCCGGAAGGUUAAUUGAUGGGGUCAGCGCAAGCGAAGCUCUUGAUCGAAGCCCCGGUAAACGGCGGCCGUAACUAUAACGGUCCUAAGGUAGCGAAAUUCCUUGUCGGGUAAGUUCCGACCUGCACGAAUGGCGUAAUGAUGGCCAGGCUGUCUCCACCCGAGACUCAGUGAAAUUGAACUCGCUGUGAAGAUGCAGUGUACCCGCGGCAAGACGGAAAGACCCCGUGAACCUUUACUAUAGCUUGACACUGAACAUUGAGCCUUGAUGUGUAGGAUAGGUGGGAGGCUUUGAAGUGUGGACGCCAGUCUGCAUGGAGCCGACCUUGAAAUACCACCCUUUAAUGUUUGAUGUUCUAACGUGGACCCGUGAUCCGGGUUGCGGACAGUGUCUGGUGGGUAGUUUGACUGGGGCGGUCUCCUCCUAAAGAGUAACGGAGGAGCACGAAGGUUGGCUAAUCCUGGUCGGACAUCAGGAGGUUAGUGCAAUGGCAUAAGCCAGCUUGACUGCGAGCGUGACGGCGCGAGCAGGUGCGAAAGCAGGUCAUAGUGAUCCGGUGGUUCUGAAUGGAAGGGCCAUCGCUCAACGGAUAAAAGGUACUCCGGGGAUAACAGGCUGAUACCGCCCAAGAGUUCAUAUCGACGGCGGUGUUUGGCACCUCGAUGUCGGCUCAUCACAUCCUGGGGCUGAAGUAGGUCCCAAGGGUAUGGCUGUUCGCCAUUUAAAGUGGUACGCGAGCUGGGUUUAGAACGUCGUGAGACAGUUCGGUCCCUAUCUGCCGUGGGCGCUGGAGAACUGAGGGGGGCUGCUCCUAGUACGAGAGGACCGGAGUGGACGCAUCACUGGUGUUCGGGUUGUCAUGCCAAUGGCACUGCCCGGUAGCUAAAUGCGGAAGAGAUAAGUGCUGAAAGCAUCUAAGCACGAAACUUGCCCCGAGAUGAGUUCUCCCUGACUCCUUGAGAGUCCUGAAGGAACGUUGAAGACGACGACGUUGAUAGGCCGGGUGUGUAAGCGCAGCGAUGCGUUGAGCUAACCGGUACUAAUGAACCGUGAGGCUUAACC
RNAcentral lists this ribosomal RNA (2892 nucleotides) under Escherichia coli. RNAcentral describes it as "bacterial LSU rRNA". It matches the Rfam family "Bacterial large subunit ribosomal RNA". Lineage: Bacteria; Pseudomonadati; Pseudomonadota; Gammaproteobacteria; Enterobacterales; Enterobacteriaceae. The record is from RNAcentral.